Molecule: unclassified non-coding RNA, 304 nt
Filed under: plant metagenome
Description: partial contains 5.8S ribosomal RNA, internal transcribed spacer 2, and large subunit ribosomal RNA
Rfam family: 5.8S ribosomal RNA (bases 1-105)
Source: RNAcentral
GAAAUGCGAUAAGUAGUGUGAAUUGCAGAAUUCAGUGAAUCAUCGAAUCUUUGAACGCACAUUGCGCCCCUUGGUAUUCCAUGGGGCAUGCCUGUUCGAGCGUCAUUUGUACCUUCAAGCUUUGCUUGGUGUUGGGUGUUUGUCUCGCCUCUGCGUGUAGACUCGCCUCAAAACAAUUGGCAGCCGGCGUAUUGAUUUCGGAGCGCAGUACAUCUCUCGCUUUGCACUCAUAACGACGACGUCCAAAAGUACAUUUUUACACUCUUGACCUCGGAUCAGGUAGGGAUACCCGCUGAACUUAAGC